GAAUUGCGAAAUGUGAUGUGUAUUGCAGUGAAUCAUCAAUUCUUGAACGCACAUGGCACCCCUUUUAGGGGUAUGCUUGUAUGAGGGUGUUUAAUAUGAAAUUGCUUUGGCUUUUUUUAAAUAAAUGGUUUUUCAAAUUGUUACUAAUAGACGAAAGAAUCAGUGCAACAAGCUGUGUUGAAUCUUUCAUUAAAUCUUUUAGUUAACUACUUUAACUAUUUGCACCUCAUAUCAAGCAAGACUACCCGCUGAACUUAA
RNAcentral lists this unclassified non-coding RNA (258 nucleotides) under uncultured Dipodascaceae. Its description in RNAcentral is "sequence contains ITS1". The stretch from base 1 to 90 matches the Rfam family "5.8S ribosomal RNA", at positions 50 to 154 of the family's 154-position model. Lineage: Eukaryota; Fungi; Ascomycota; Dipodascomycetes; Dipodascales; Dipodascaceae. RNAcentral also lists the same sequence under 1 other name. The record is from RNAcentral.